Molecule: ribosomal RNA, 481 nt
Filed under: uncultured bacterium
Lineage: Bacteria
Description: bacterial SSU rRNA
Rfam family: Bacterial small subunit ribosomal RNA
Source: RNAcentral
GAUGAACGCUAGCGGCAGGCCUAAUACAUGCAAGUCGGACGGUAAAUGGCCCUUCGGGGCUAUGAGAGUGGCGCACGGGUGAGUAACACGUAUGCAACCUGCCCUUGUCAGGGGGAUAAGCGAGGGAAACCUCGUCUAAUACCGCAUAUAUGAUUUAGAGGCAUCUUUUAAUCAGGAAAGAAUUAUCGGACAAGGAUGGGCAUGCGGGACAUUAGGUAGUUGGGGGUGUAACGGACCACCAAGCCCGACGAUGUCUAGGGGUUCUGAGAGGAAGGUCCCCCACACUGGUACUGAGACACGGUCCAGACUCCUACGGGAGGCAGCAGUGAGGAAUAUUGGUCAAUGGUCGGAAGACUGAACCAGCCAAGUAGCGUGAAGGAUGAAGGUUCUAUGGAUUGUAAACUUCUUUUAUACGGGAAUAAAACACCUUACGUGUAGGGUCUUGUAUGUACCGUAUGAAUAAGCAUCGGCUAACUCCGUG